This 465-nucleotide ribosomal RNA is filed under the name uncultured Klebsiella sp. RNAcentral's name for it is "bacterial SSU rRNA". It matches the Rfam family "Bacterial small subunit ribosomal RNA", at positions 338 to 795 of the family's 1533-position model. The record is from RNAcentral. Lineage: Bacteria; Pseudomonadati; Pseudomonadota; Gammaproteobacteria; Enterobacterales; Enterobacteriaceae.
CCUACGGGAGGCUGCAGUGGGGAAUAUUGCACAAUGGGCGCAAGCCUGAUGCAGCCAUGCCGCGUGUGUGAAGAAGGCCUUCGGGUUGUAAAGCACUUUCAGCGGGGAGGAAGGCGUUAAGGUUAAUAACCUUGGCGAUUGACGUUACCCGCAGAAGAAGCACCGGCUAACUCCGUGCCAGCAGCCGCGGUAAUACGGAGGGUGCAAGCGUUAAUCGGAAUUACUGGGCGUAAAGCGCACGCAGGCGGUCUGUCAAGUCGGAUGUGAAAUCCCCGGGCUCAACCUGGGAAUUGCAUUCGAAACUGGCAGGCUAGAGGCUUGUAGAGGGGGGUAGAAUUCCAGGUGUAGCGGUGAAAUGCGUAGAGAUCUGGAGGAAUACCGGUGGCGAAGGCGGCCCCCUGGACAAAGACUGACGCUCAGGUGCGAAAGCGUGGGGAGCAAACAGGAUUAGAUACCCUUGUAGUC